AUACUUACCUGGCAGGGGAGAUACCAUGAUCACGAAGGUGGUUUUCCCAGGGCGAGGCUUAUCCAUUGCACUCCGGAUGUGCUGACCCCUGCGAUUUCCCCAAAUGUGGGAAACGCGACUGCAUAAUUUGUGGUAGUGGGGGACUGCGUUUGCGCUCUCCCCUA
This is a small nuclear RNA of Heterocephalus glaber (naked mole-rat), 164 nucleotides long. Its record names the gene U1. It matches the Rfam family "U1 spliceosomal RNA". From Rfam's summary of the family: U1 is a small nuclear RNA (snRNA) component of the spliceosome (involved in pre-mRNA splicing). Its 5' end forms complementary base pairs with the 5' splice junction, thus defining the 5' donor site of an intron. There are significant differences in sequence and secondary structure between metazoan and yeast U1 snRNAs, the latter being much longer (568 nucleotides as compared to 164 nucleotides in human). The record is from Ensembl. NCBI's taxonomy places the organism in Eukaryota, Metazoa, Chordata, Mammalia, Rodentia, Bathyergidae.